AUCUUUGUAUCGUUGUUUUGUUUCUAUUAAUAUAGAUUUAAUCUAUUAGGAUGGAAUGCAAAAGGGUAAUCAGGUGAAAGACCUGGACAGACCCGCUACUGUAAGCAAUUGUUUCGAUAAGAAGCAUUGUAAGUCAGAAAACCUGCAAAACAAUAUAAAUACUU
RNAcentral lists this non-coding RNA (164 nucleotides) under Indolivaga macrotermitis. Lineage: Bacteria; Pseudomonadati; Bacteroidota; Bacteroidia; Bacteroidales; Dysgonomonadaceae. The record is from RNAcentral.